AGCGACUGGGGUGAAGUCGUAACAAGGUAACCGUAGGAGAACCUGCGGUUGGAUCACCUCCUUUCAAGA
Molecule: ribosomal RNA, 69 nt
Filed under: Sulfurovum riftiae
Lineage: Bacteria; Pseudomonadati; Campylobacterota; Epsilonproteobacteria; Campylobacterales; Sulfurovaceae
Description: partial 16S ribosomal RNA
Rfam family: Bacterial small subunit ribosomal RNA
Source: RNAcentral